ACCCUGAGUCUCUUUGCUUUGGGGAGAUUAAGUGCAGCUCUCUGCUUCGGAUGCCCCAAAAGACUGGAGUUCAGAGGCAGGCUUUGGGGAGCUGACCGUAGCACAGAGAUGCCUGAUAAUAGUGAAGGACACACUCAUCGGUAGAUUGACCUGCUGAGGAGUUCAGAACUAAAUGUCCUGUGGGAAGGAAUGCAAGGAGGAGUAAAGAACGAGAGCAAUGACUGAAAAGGGACCCAUCCCCCUGGCCGAGGUUAGAGACAUAAAUGGAAGAAACUUGUGCAUUCCCAUUUGUAUGCAGGAUAGUUUCUUGAAGGUUGAAAAGAUGUUUUCUGAUAAACAAGAUGCCUGACCCAUAAGAAACCUUGACUUUUCUUCAACAUGAUGAGAUCAGAGAUGCCUUGCAAGAAACCAAAGCAGACGAGAAACUGAACAUUGAGGAUUGUUCUGAUUAUCUAUCUUCUGAUUAUCUAUCACCGCACAACAUAUUUUCCUAAAAUCAUUUAUUUUGUCAACUGACUUUUAUGUCUCAGGACACAAAAGCUAAGAGGACAUUUUUAUUUUUACUUUUUUUCCCUGAUCCACAAAGUCUAAGGCUUAAGUUGGGAGACUGGCAGCCUGAGGUGAAGCCCUGAGGGCUGGUCAUUAUAGGAGACCCAUUCUCUUCGAAGGUUGCCUUGUGGAUCUUGGCAGAAAGUGUGGCCCCAUGCUUGUGGUGGCCUCUGCAGUGCACCCAAGGAUAACAAGGCAGUGGACUCUGAAGGAUGAAUAGCCCAGCAGAGCCAGAGGAGGUGGGCACUUUUGUGGGACUGGGAAGUCCUCAGCAUCGUUCUCCUCUUCUCCAAGCCGUCACAGGAGACGUGGAGUUUCUGUGAGGGGAGGAGGAUGCAGGCAGUGACAGGGAACUGACACAGGUCUAGAAGAACAUGUAAGAGCUUAACUUUUGUUUUAUUGACCUGCAAAAGAACUUUGGACUAUCCUCUAGAUAAUGUAUAUUGUGGGAGGAUUUUAGUAUCACAGACCCGUGGUCAGAUUUUUGUUUGAGCUAAAAAAAAAUUCUGAGAUCCUUCCUGUUUGCUCAGACUGGAGAAAGAUCAACCUCCGAGGCAUCUACAGCAAUAACCAUGUGACAGGUGAGAGACAAGUCACCUGCUUUUAGGGCU
This is a long non-coding RNA of Chinchilla lanigera (long-tailed chinchilla), 1160 nucleotides long. RefSeq lists it as uncharacterized. The transcript is spliced from 4 exons. Lineage: Eukaryota; Metazoa; Chordata; Mammalia; Rodentia; Chinchillidae. The record is from RefSeq and is a predicted model, not a curated record.